RNAcentral lists this long non-coding RNA (2475 nucleotides) under Podarcis lilfordi (Lilford's wall lizard). The record is from RNAcentral. Lineage: Eukaryota; Metazoa; Chordata; Lepidosauria; Squamata; Lacertidae.
CAGUAACAUCAACAUCCGUCUCCCGUGAGACUUCCAACAGUCUGGAAUGUAAACAGAGUCUUGUGACUCCAAAAGCUGAACAGUGGCAUAACAGAAAUCUAACAAGAGCUUGGUUGGUGGGUGUGGCUUUGCUAUACAGUGGUACCUCUGGUUACGAAUGGGAUCCUUUCCGGAGGCCCAGCCACAUCCCAAAAACUUCAUAACCGGAGGAGCCCUUCUGCGCACGCAUGCAUGUAACCCGAGGGUCCACUGUAUUGGCUGGGGUGCCAUCUUGAAUAAAAGAUUGGGUGGUCCAGGUAAGCCCCACCCUGCAUAACUGAUCACAUAACGCAGUGCACGCACACCAUUUGAAUGCCAAUGCCCAUCAACUUUGGGGGUGCCCAUCCCCUCAAAUAUUUUUUGGGGGGGUGAAGUCUCCUCGGCCCCAAGGAGUUGUCUCCUAUGCUAUACAGGAAAUUCCACACAUGCCCUUUUCAUUUUGUUUAAACAAAUAAAUCUGUCCAAUCCUAUGCUGGUGGGAAACAUGGGCAUGCAUUCCCCCCCCCCAAAGGAAACCGUUUCUAAAAGAAAGUACUCAAAUACUAGCAUGUCAUCGUCUGACCCACAACAGGCCGAGAUCCUCGCCCCAAUUCAUCGCAGUAGAGCCAAUGAGGUGAAUAAACGAAGGGAGCAAAUGACAGAGGAAGGGAAGCUGCUGGUGCCACUCUGAAAAUCUUUGCUUAGACAUAGUAGCAGUUACUCUUGAGGAACCUGUUUACAUUACUGAGCAGGUGCACAAGCUUUUGAGCAGCUCACUUUCUCACUUGGGCAGGCUUGGAAAGCAUGUGAUCUCCCAAGCCAAUGUUACUAAGACACAGUAAUCACAUCUUAGUUUUUACAGCCCUAAUCAAGAAGUAGAAGGGGAGGCUGGUGGUUCUUGGUAGGCCAUGUUUGGCUCAGCGGGCCACAGGUUGUGCAAGCCUGGUCAGUGUGGAUGUUAUUGUGGUAAACUCCCUUGAGGAUGCUGAAAUUGGAAAGCCACAUGCUUAAAUGAGGGUGGAAGAAAAGUGCACAAUGGACAAGAAGUAUGUGAGUCGAAGUGGUUGUGUCCUGCUUGUUUCAUCUUCUGUCAGUCUCCCUUUUAAGCCUAAAGUGACUCUCAUUUAGGGCUCCGUACCAUAUCUCAUGGUGCUGAACAUGGUAAACUAAGAACUACAUAACAUUUGCUUUAAUUAAUGAAUACAGUCCUCAGAACUAUUGGUAACUUAACUCUAAUUUGCUUGCUUUUGUUUCUGCUCCAGAGUAGGUGAUCUGAGGAUUGCAGUAUACAGUGUGCCAUGAAAACUUCUUUGGGGAAAACAUAAAGGUAAAGGGACCCCUGACCGUUAGGUCCCAUCACAGACGACUUUGGGGUUGCGGCGCUCAUCUCGCUUUAUUGGCCGAGGGAGCCGGCGUACAGCAUGUGGUCAUGUGGCCAGCAUGACUAAGCCGCUUCUGGUGAACCAGAGCAGCGCACGGAAAUGCCGUUUACCUUCCCACCGGAGUGGUACCUAUUUAUCUACUUGCACUUUGACGUGCUUUCGAACUGCUAGGUUGGCAGGAGCAGGGACCAAGGAAUCCCCCUGUCGCGGGGAUUCAAACUGCACCACCCGCCACUUAAUUUAAUUGCAGUGUCAGGGGAUACAAUGCAGGUGCCUUAUGUCAAACUGACAGUAUACAAGCCAUGACUAAGAGACCAGCUCUUUUAUAUAAGUGCUCCCUGGAGCAAAGGGUCUACGGGAAUCUCCUGUCUAUAGAAAAUUUCAACAGAAUUGCUUGUAACUUCCUGAGGAUGCUAUGUGGUAAUGUUUAUUACACUAACUUUCAUGUCUGUAAACCUUUUGCUUAUAAGAGUAUUAUCAGCAAUGUAAAGAUGGUAUAUUUGCUACUUUCAUAACAUGCUGACAUCCCUUGAUCAAGUAGGAAAAGUCAAACUUGCAUUUUUUACCAAGACAAUCAUAAAUACCCCCACCCAGUACUUUGUGCUUUCUAUGAGCUAUACUUAAAGAAAGGAGAAAUGUCAACUUAAAACUGUUGUGCCCAUUUGUGAAAUUGGACCCUGUGUACAAAAGGACACUGGAAGUCCAUUAUAGAUGCCCUACUGCUGCGAAAACAUCUCCUUUACUGUACAAGAGCUUCAAUUUAAGUAGCUACUUUGCUUCCCUGUUGAUCUGGAAGUAGCAAUCUUUUCCUCCCUUGAUUAUGCUUUCCCCCGCCUUUUUUUACAGAACCAACUUCUCUUAGAAAACCUGAAAUGAAUUCUACACUGCUUACCUGUGCAGACACCCCAGAAAGAGAAGAAUAUUCUGUUUACAGCACCAAGUUAACAUAUAUAUAAGUGCAGAUCCUUGUAUCAUUAUUGUAGUUGUUUAUGUUAUUGACUUCCCUUUAAAACAAUCCAGAACUUUCACAAUAAACUCCCAGUGAGGCAGCCAUGUUAGUCUGUUGCUGAAUAAC